This is a non-coding RNA of Pelobates cultripes (western spadefoot toad), 433 nucleotides long. The record is from the annotation of a GenBank genome assembly. NCBI's taxonomy places the organism in Eukaryota, Metazoa, Chordata, Amphibia, Anura, Pelobatidae.
CUCUCACUAUGCCCCUUUGCCUUAUCACCGCCCAUCAUCAUAUACAUCACGCAAGAUUCCAUACAAAACAUCUAAUUACCAGGACUCUUCUAACCGCUAUUACAAUUCCCACAGUCCAGACACUCGAUCACAUUCUCCCAAAACUCAGCGAUCUAAUACUUUUUAUAAAAACCACUCUGAUACCCCUAUUACACAUACUAACAGAUACCAAUUAUUGUCCAUUGACUCCGAAAUAGAAAAUGAUGAUCAUUUUUUAGAGAUUCAGACACACCCCAGCACUUUCAUCAACACACCCUAUCCCACAAGAGCAAAAAAAAGAACUCUAAGCCCAGAGGAAAACGGAGUGGCAGAAGAGAACAAAAAAGAGAGACUAGAAAGAUAAAAAAUACCCUUAAAGAAUCAGAUGUUGGCAUUUUUAACUUAUCCAAUAAAG